RNAcentral lists this ribosomal RNA (253 nucleotides) under uncultured bacterium. RNAcentral describes it as "partial 16S ribosomal RNA". It matches the Rfam family "Bacterial small subunit ribosomal RNA", at positions 524 to 776 of the family's 1533-position model. The record is from RNAcentral.
UACGUAGGGUGCGAGCGUUAAUCGGAAUUACUGGGCGUAAAGCGUGCGCAGGCGGCUUUGCAAGACAGAUGUGAAAUCCCCGGGCUCAACCUGGGAACUGCAUUUGUGACUGCAAGGCUAGAGUACGGCAGAGGGGGAUGGAAUUCCGCGUGUAGCAGUGAAAUGCGUAGAGAUCGGGAGGAACACCAGUGGCGAAGGCGACACGCUGGGCCGUACCUGACACUGAUGCGCGACAGCAUGGGGAGCAAACAGG